This 46-nucleotide non-coding RNA is filed under the name Trichobilharzia regenti. The record is from RNAcentral. Lineage: Eukaryota; Metazoa; Platyhelminthes; Trematoda; Strigeidida; Schistosomatidae.
GUACUGAUGAAGAGCCCCAAAGUAGGACGAAACAGCUGUCCAGUAU